RNAcentral lists this ribosomal RNA (440 nucleotides) under uncultured bacterium. RNAcentral describes it as "partial 16S ribosomal RNA". It matches the Rfam family "Bacterial small subunit ribosomal RNA", at positions 338 to 795 of the family's 1533-position model. The record is from RNAcentral.
CCUACGGGAGGCAGCAGUGGGGAAUAUUGCACAAUGGGGGAAACCCUGAUGCAGCGACGCCGCGUGAGUGAAGAAGUCAUUCGUUAUGUAAAGCUCUAUCAGCAGGGAAGAAAAUGACGGUACCUGAGUAAGAAUCCCCGGCUAACUACGUGCCAGCAGCCGCGGUCAUACGUAGGGGGCAAGCGUUAUCCGGAUUUACUGGGUGUAAAGGGAGCGUAGACGGCAGUGCAAGUCUGGAGUGAAAGGCGGGGGCUCAACCCCGGGACUGCUCUGGAAACUGUACGGCUGGAGUGCAGGAGAGGUAAGUGGAAUUCCGAGUGUAGCGGUGAAAUGCGUAGAUAUUAGGAGGAACACCAGUGGCGAAGGCGGCUUACUGGACUGUAACUGACGUUGAGGCUCGAAAGCGUGGGGAGCAAACAGGAUUAGAUACCCUGGUAGUC